CGCUCCUUGAUGUGGGAGCUCACCUCUUUAACUGAACCUUCUAGUCUCAGUACAGGGCUGUGAAGAAACAGAAUCUGCCCCUUAGGGCGGUCUCAGGAUGACAGCAAAAAACCCAGCAUUGCCUAUGAAUCCAGAAGGACUUCUUUGUGAGCAUUUCUCAGACAAUUCCUUGGGGCUUUCAGGAGCCAGAACUCCCUACUAAUGCUUUCAUCUCUGUGGAAAAGAAAACUGAAAAUCAAACCAGUUAAGCGCUUUCUCCAAAAGUCUCAAAAGUGGGGUUACAGCUGGUAUGUACACACAGGUCAGUCUGACACCCUAGCUAGAAAUGCUCUUUCCUAUACUCCAUUGGGUUUCAAAUGAAAUGUAUCAGUAAAGUGUAAAUGCUACACUUAGUUGAAGAAACCCAAUG
RNAcentral lists this long non-coding RNA (409 nucleotides) under Mustela putorius furo (domestic ferret). Its description in RNAcentral is "lncRNA (ENSMPUG00000028461.1)". Lineage: Eukaryota; Metazoa; Chordata; Mammalia; Carnivora; Mustelidae. The record is from RNAcentral.